RNAcentral lists this transfer RNA (72 nucleotides) under Lamprotula caveata. Its description in RNAcentral is "tRNA-Pro". Lineage: Eukaryota; Metazoa; Mollusca; Bivalvia; Unionida; Unionidae. The record is from RNAcentral.
CAUGGCCCAGAAAGUAGUUUAUGUAAAACAAAAACUUUGGGAGUUUUAGAUUUAGCCCUGCUAAUUUUCUGA